UACGAAGGGGGCUAGCGUUGCUCGGAAUUACUGGGCGUAAAGCGCACGUAGGCGGAUUGUUAAGUCGGGGGUGAAAUCCUGGAGCUCAACUCCAGAACUGCCUUCGAUACUGGCGAUCUCGAGUUCGGGAGAGGUGAGUGGAACUGCGAGUGUAGAGGUGAAAUUCGUAGAUAUUCGCAAGAACACCGGUGGCGAAGGCGACGUCCUGGACCGGCAUUGACGCUGAGGCGCGAAAGCCAGGGGAGCAAACGGG
Molecule: ribosomal RNA, 253 nt
Filed under: uncultured bacterium
Lineage: Bacteria
Description: partial 16S ribosomal RNA
Rfam family: Bacterial small subunit ribosomal RNA
Source: RNAcentral